This 406-nucleotide ribosomal RNA is filed under the name uncultured bacterium. Its description in RNAcentral is "partial 16S ribosomal RNA". It matches the Rfam family "Bacterial small subunit ribosomal RNA", at positions 29 to 526 of the family's 1533-position model. The record is from RNAcentral.
AUUGAACGCUGGCGGCAUGCCUAACACAUGCAAGUCGAGCGUGCGGCGCACAGGUGAGAAAUGUCUGGGAAACUGCCUGAUUUCGGGGGGUAACUACUGGAGGCAGUAGCUAAUACCACAUACCAUCCGAUUUUCACCGAUGGGAUGAGCUAGUGGGUGGGGUAACGGCGCCCCUAGGCGACGAUCCCUCCCGGGUCUGAGAGGAUGACCAGCCCAACGGGAACGGGGACACGGCCCAGAUCCCUACGGGAGCAAGCAUGGGGGAAUAUUGCAAAAUGGGCGCAAGCCUGCUGCGGCAAGCCCGCGGGGUGGAAGAAGGCCUUCGGGUUGAAAAGCACUUUCAGCGGGGAGGCGUUACCCGAAGAAGAAGCAACGGCUAACUCCGUGCCAGCAGCCGCGGUAAUUC